This is a long non-coding RNA of Mytilus californianus (California mussel), 633 nucleotides long. RefSeq lists it as uncharacterized. The transcript has 4 exons. The record is from RefSeq and is a predicted model, not a curated record. NCBI's taxonomy places the organism in Eukaryota, Metazoa, Mollusca, Bivalvia, Mytilida, Mytilidae.
AUAAAAUAUUGAACCAUUUAUAGCAACAGCUUACUGAUUGUUUCAAGUGGAGUCGGAAAAGUGGAAAUUUAAAAGAUGAAUUCUUUCAACUUGGAAUUGGUAGCAAUUCUUGUUCUUUCAAUAUCUUUAUUGCAUGCAACUGAAGGACAGCCAGCUCCUCGUGUUACAAGAUUAGAAAUCAUAAGUCAUUCAUGCAAUGGAAGAAAUCCUGUCUUUUAUUAUGUCCAGAAGGGAUAUGCAACGCAUACAUCAAAAGCUUGGGAUGGUUCUAGUGCCUCACGGGAUUGUAAUUGGGUUCAUAUAUACACUAAUUGGAGAAGGAUAGUUACUGGAUGGAUAUCUAAAUGCGAAAACAGGAAUAUCUGUUCUACUACUCUCAAACUCAGCAAUGGAAGGUUAUGGGAUCGACAGUUUCAAGACUGUUGCAAUGUACGCUAAAAUCAAAUAGCUUUCCUUCCAAUUGAAAUUUCGGAUGAAGAAUGUAAACUCUGUUUAAAAUAAUACAUACAUAUACACUAAAGUUCAAUGUCACUUUCAAAUACCUACAAAUGUUUUCUUAAAUUUGUUAGUUGAAAUUUAAAGGAUGAAAAACUGUUGCAACUGUCAUAUGCAUAAUAAAUGCAAUACUUCUUA